GCAGACGAAGGUGGGUACCGUGAGCCCCCGCGGCGCUGGGGGGGAACCAGGCGCGUUUAGGGGGGAACGGGGACGCCUCUGCUGCACAAACGAGGAUGGGGGUGCUGCAAGGGUUUCUGAAUCUGCAAGGAGCUUUGCCUUCACAUGCGCUUAAAUGUCUUUCAUGAUCAAAGAGACUCAAAACUCUCAUCCUCCCAAAUGUCUCCCGCCCUCCCUCUUCAUACUUGAAAGCUAACAAUCAAACGAAUUCUCACUGGACCCAGCAACCAGGACUUUAAAAGGAAAAGG
Molecule: long non-coding RNA, 288 nt
Organism: Cygnus olor (mute swan)
Lineage: Eukaryota; Metazoa; Chordata; Aves; Anseriformes; Anatidae
Exons: 2
Source: RefSeq, a predicted model, not a curated record